UGUUUGUUGUCAGAAGGAAAAGGGAUCAUAACAUCAGUAAAUGUCUAGGUGGCACAGAAAUGGAAAACAGAACAUAGGAGAAAUGGAAAAUGUAACAUAAGACAACUAGGUAACACAAAAACGAGAAAUCGUAACACAAGACAACUAGGUAACACACAAAAACGAGAAAUGGAAAAUGGAACAUAGGAGAACUAGGUAACCAAAAUGAGACACAAGAAACAGAACAUACGAAAAGAUACGAAAGAUCCAUAAGUUUACUUGAGAAGAAAUGCUCAGAUUUGAGAGUUUUUGUGCAUCAUAUGUAAGAAACUGAUUGCAUUACAUUUCACAUUGCUUAUAAGCCAUCUAACUAGACAGUUAACAAUGCCAUUUGGAACAGAAUUGCCUCACCAUAUAUUCAAUUAAAUCCGAGAAACUGUUAGUUUAUUAGUGAGCACGCAAUGCAUCAACUU
This is a long non-coding RNA of Ipomoea nil (Japanese morning glory), 452 nucleotides long. RefSeq lists it as uncharacterized. The record is from RefSeq and is a predicted model, not a curated record. The transcript has 2 exons. Lineage: Eukaryota; Viridiplantae; Streptophyta; Magnoliopsida; Solanales; Convolvulaceae.